CGCACCGCCUGCACAGUGCCCACCCGCCCCGACCCCAGCGCACGGCUCCGCGUCCCCCUGCCUUGCUCCUCAGCAACCAGCGCACAGCACAGAGCCUCCUUGCCUUGCUUCUGCCUAGCUCCUGCACGCUAGCACAGCACCCUUGCCCAGUCGGAUCGAUCACCUGCAACCUAGUUGGAUCUAGGCUCUCCACCGUGGCAACACGUGGUCACCUGCAUGUGGUGCCGGAAACUCCCUGCACAUGGUCAUCUGUUCCAUUGGAGCGGGUUCAGAGGAAGAAGACGCG
Molecule: long non-coding RNA, 286 nt
Filed under: Rosa chinensis
Lineage: Eukaryota; Viridiplantae; Streptophyta; Magnoliopsida; Rosales; Rosaceae
Description: sRNA RchiOBHm_Chr5g0015961
Source: RNAcentral